AGCAAAUGACAGCACUGAGCACAGUGCACCCUUGUCAAACGAAGGCAAAAAUAGCCGGGUACUAUUUAAUUACCUGUUUCAUGGAAAUAAUUCAAAUAAAAUUAUAGUUAAACAUGACGACUGCCGCAGAAAACCGUCCCCAAGACUGUGAUGCGUGCAGGAUAGUCAGCUCAAUAGGUCUCGUUGGAAUUGGUGCUUAUCUUGCUAACACUGCUUGGAAGAAUAAGACCCUUCCUGGGAAGAUGGUUAUAUCAACAAUCUCUUUUGCAUUUGUAACCCUUGGAGUACAAAGAUACAAGAAGCAAUAUCCAUUCAAUAAGCAUGUUGAGAAGUCAUGAAAUAAAAUUAAGGAGACAA
Long non-coding RNA from Vanessa tameamea, 357 nucleotides. RefSeq lists it as uncharacterized. NCBI's taxonomy places the organism in Eukaryota, Metazoa, Arthropoda, Insecta, Lepidoptera, Nymphalidae. The transcript is spliced from 2 exons. The record is from RefSeq and is a predicted model, not a curated record.